This 253-nucleotide ribosomal RNA is filed under the name uncultured bacterium. RNAcentral describes it as "partial 16S ribosomal RNA". It matches the Rfam family "Bacterial small subunit ribosomal RNA", at positions 524 to 776 of the family's 1533-position model. The record is from RNAcentral.
UACGAGAGGUGCAAGCGUUAUUCGGAAUCAUUGGGCGUAAAGGGUGCGUAGGCGGCCAGGUAAGUCUGCUGUGAAAUCCCGCAGCUCAACUGCGGAACUGCAUUGGAUACUAUCUGGCUAGAGGAAUGGAGGGGAGACUGGAAUUCUCGGUGUAGCAGUGAAAUGCGUAGAUAUCGAGAGGAACACCAGUGGCGAAGGCGAGUCUCUGGACAUUUCCUGACGCUGAGGCACGAAAGCCAGGGGAGCAAACGGG